AUACAAUACACGUGUGAAGAGCUUGUUAAACAUUCAGAAUGUAAAGGUGUCAAAACAUAUGCUCUUUCAUUUGAGUUCCCUAUUAAAAGCGAGGACGACGUUAUUGAAGCUUUUAGAAGUUAUUUCAGCAAGAACAAAAAUGUAAGAAUUGCUAUAAUAGAACAUAUUUCAAGUCCUCUUUCUGUAAGAAUGCCAAUAGAGAAAUUGAUUCCACUUUGCAAGGAAUAUGGAGUUCUCAGUCUGAUAGACGGUGCUCAUGCACUAGGGCAAAUUCCACUGAAUCUUCGAGAGCUUAACGCUGACUUUUAUACAGGAAAUCUCCAUAAAUGGUUUUAUUGCCCACGAGGAUGUGCAUUCCUCAAUAUGAAGAAAAUUCACAAGGAUUGGGUUAAACCGCUCGUAACAUCAUUUCGUCAUUAUGAGGGGUUUCACAAUAUGUUCCAUACACAGGGCACACGUGAUACAAGUGUCUUCUGCGUUGUACCGGAAGCUAUUAAAUUCUAUUCCGAUAUUGGUG
Long non-coding RNA from Mytilus californianus (California mussel), 517 nucleotides. RefSeq lists it as uncharacterized. Lineage: Eukaryota; Metazoa; Mollusca; Bivalvia; Mytilida; Mytilidae. The transcript is spliced from 4 exons. The record is from RefSeq and is a predicted model, not a curated record.